UACGAAGGGUGCAAGCGUUAAUCGGAAUUACUGGGCGUAAAGCGUGCGUAGGCGGUUUGUUAAGUCUGCUGUGAAAUCCCCGGGCUCAACCUGGGAAUGGCAGUGGAUACUGGCAAGCUAGAGUGUGUCAGAGGAUGGGUGGAAUUCCCGGUGUAGCGGUGAAAUGGCGUAGAGAGUCGGGAGGAACAUCGAGUGGCGGAAGG
RNAcentral lists this ribosomal RNA (203 nucleotides) under uncultured bacterium. Its description in RNAcentral is "partial 16S ribosomal RNA". It matches the Rfam family "Bacterial small subunit ribosomal RNA", at positions 524 to 721 of the family's 1533-position model. The record is from RNAcentral.